Molecule: ribosomal RNA, 396 nt
Filed under: uncultured bacterium
Lineage: Bacteria
Description: bacterial SSU rRNA
Rfam family: Bacterial small subunit ribosomal RNA
Source: RNAcentral
UGGGGAAUAUUGGACAAUGGGCGAAAGCCUGACCCAGCAACGCCGCGUGAAGGAUGAAGUAUUUCGGUAUGUAAACUUCGAAAGAAUAGGAAGAAUAAAUGACGGUACUAUUUAUAAGGUCCGGCUAACUACGUGCCAGCAGCCGCGGUAAUACGUAGGGACCAAGCGUUGUUCGGAUUUACUGGGCGUAAAGGGCGCGUAGGCGGCAAUUCAAGUCAUCUGUGAAAUCUCCGGGCUUAACUCGGAACGGUCAGAUGAUACUGCUUUGCUAGAGUGCAGAAGGGGCAAUCGGAAUUCUUGGUGUAGCGGUGAAAUGCGUAGAUAUCAAGAGGAACACCUGAGGUGAAGACGGGUUGCUGGGCUGACACUGACGCUGAGGCGCGAAAGCCAGGGGAG